RNAcentral lists this ribosomal RNA (480 nucleotides) under uncultured bacterium. RNAcentral describes it as "bacterial SSU rRNA". It matches the Rfam family "Bacterial small subunit ribosomal RNA", at positions 33 to 507 of the family's 1533-position model. The record is from RNAcentral.
GACUCCGUCGGCUACGAGGACGACGCUGGCGGCGUGCCUAACACAUGCAAGUCGAGCGAGUGAAUUUCCUUCGGGAGUGAAGCUAGCGGCGACGGGUGAGUAACACGUGGGCAACCUGCCUCAUAGAGGGGAAUAGCCUUUCGAAAGGAAGAUUAAUACCGCAUAAGAUUGUAGCUUCGCAUGAAGUAGCAAUUAAAGGAGCAAUCCGCUAUGAGAUGGGCCCGCGUCCGAUUAGUUAGUUGGCGGGGUAACGGCCCACCAAGACCGCGAUCGGUAGCCGACCUGAGAGGGUGACCGGCCACAUUGGGACUGAGACACGGCCCAGACUCCUACGGGAGGCAGCAGUGGGGAAUAUUGCACAAUGGAGGAAACUCUGAUGCAGCGACGCCGCGUGAGCGAAGAAGUAUUUCGGUAUGUAAAGCUCUGUCAGCAGGGAAGAUAAUGACGGUACCUGACCAAGAAGCCCCGGCUAACUACGUG